UUUAUGUAAGAUACCAUUGUAAGGUAUCAAUGUGAGGUGAUAUCUAAGAAAAGGGAUGAGUGUCAUAGUUGGUAUCCAUAGUAUAUGUGUUGUCGUAUUUUGCACGACAAUUGUAAUAGUAAAGUUGGUAUUUGGAAAUUGCAUUGAGUGUAUUUCGUGGCGACUUAGAAUGGGUAGGGUGGAGUGGACCUAUUUUGGGGGCAUCACAGUAAGGGUAGGCUAAUUACCAGGAUUACUUUGUUUUCUUACAUUUGCUCAUUUGUCCUCAAAUAGGAUAAGAAAUAGCAGAAAAAGGUACCAAUUUGAUUGAUUCAAAAGUCAAAUUUUUUUCACAUCAUUAUGUUCAGCAUGGAUUAAUACUAACAUUUUCUAUGUUGAAUAUUUUUUAUCAAGGCAUAUGAGCAUGCAUAUUCACUAUUAUGUGUUUAGACGCAUUUCAUAUGAUAAGUCAUUUUCCAACCGAUAGAAAUUAGAAAAAAAGACAUACAUACGUUACCAGGACUAUAAAGCCCCCAAACUUGGGUACUUGAAACCCGAACUCGGUGCUUUACGAUACCAUUUCUAUGAGCGGAAUUGUAGCAUCCCCGAAUCCGGGUCCUAAAUCGCCGCGGAUUCGGUUCGCUAAUCUUUCUAUUACUAAUCAUUCUAUAACUGUUUGCGGAAGAUAUAAACAUAAAUUGUUUAUACAUUACAUUACACACUAUUCCCCAAGGUCGAGUAACCUUUACUUGAAUACAAUACCUUCAAUAUCUUAGAAGAUUUACAAUACUAUUUUCAUCAGAAAAUUUAAUAAAUUUAACUACAACAUAAAGAAACUUUGCACUUUGUCUUUGCCUCUGCCCUUAUUCAAGCCUUCAUCUUAAUCUGAAAAUUUUAUCAUGAUAUAGCAAGGGUGAGCAACAAAUUUGCCCAGCAAGUUUUACAUACAAAGGAGAUAUAUCAUGAUUGAAAAGAAUGGAUAAGCUUUUAAGUUUUCAACAAUAUAAUAAUUGUGAAAUAACAUGAAUCAAUUUUUUUUUUCUUGAAUGACUGAACCAAUAAUAAUGGAUGUCAACAAUUAACAUGAACAAGUUUAACUGAAACAUAUGGUAAUGAAGGUGAUCAGCCUUUCAUACCUGAUGAACAUAUACAACAUGCACAAN
Molecule: long non-coding RNA, 1142 nt
Filed under: Panax ginseng (ginseng)
Lineage: Eukaryota; Viridiplantae; Streptophyta; Magnoliopsida; Apiales; Araliaceae
Description: long non-coding RNA (PGIN_LNC010384)
Source: RNAcentral